UUGACGGGGCCCGCACAAGCGGUGGAGCAUUGUGGUUUAAUUCGAAGCAACGACGAAGAACCUUACCAGGUCUUGACAUCCCGAUGCUAUUCUAGAGAUAGAAAGUUACUUCGGUACAUCGGUGACAGGUGGUGCAUGGUUGUCGUCAGCUCGUGUCGUGAGAUGUUGGGUUAAGUCCCGCAACGAGCGCAACCCCUAUUGUUAGUUGCCAUCAUUCAGUUGGGCACUCUAGCGAGACUGCCGGGUAAUAAACCGGAGGAAGGUGGGGAUGACGUCAAAUCAUCAUGCCCCUUAUGACCUGGGCUACACACGUGCUACAAUGGUUGGUACAACGAGUUGCGAGUCGGUGACGGCGAGCUAAUCUCUUAAAGCCAAUCUCAGUUCGGAUUGUAGGCUGCAACUCGCCUACAUGAAGUCGGAAUCGCUAGUAAUCGCGGAUCAGCACGCCGCGGUGAAUACGUUCCCGGGCCUU
This 472-nucleotide ribosomal RNA is filed under the name uncultured Streptococcus sp. RNAcentral describes it as "bacterial SSU rRNA". It matches the Rfam family "Bacterial small subunit ribosomal RNA", at positions 910 to 1382 of the family's 1533-position model. Lineage: Bacteria; Bacillati; Bacillota; Bacilli; Lactobacillales; Streptococcaceae. The record is from RNAcentral.